AAAGGCAAGGACCUUGAUCUAUGAAAAGUACAUUGAUAGGAAAGGGUGAGCUGCUUAACUACUUGGAAGACAUGGUGGGCAGCCGUGUUAACAUAAGGCAAGAAAUCAAGAUUAAGAAAGUUCGCUCCAUAUGAAUUUGAAUUUGUCAUAAACCUUGUUUUUGACAAAUUCACAUGGAUAUGAACACAUACACCAUUAAAAUCUAAGUGUCACAAGAUUCCCUCCUUCAUGAAAAUGACUGUGAGGAAAUACUUUCACUAAAAGAGAUUUUAAGAAGAUAGUGAUUGUGAAAUUGUAUUCUCGAAUUUGAUUAUGGUUACGGUAUCCCUUUCCAUGAUUCGAAUUAUGAGAUUUGGCAAUUAGUCUUAAUUGUUUAGAUACACAUAUGAGCUAUCUAAAGGAAAGGUGUAUAAGCUUAGAUAAAGGAUUAUCAAAGCAUUAGGUAUUAGAAACAUGAACUUAAGAAAUUCAAUAGGUAUUGUUUUUCUGAAAGUUAAGUUGUUUCUAAGUACAUGUCAAAGCUAGUGGGAGCAUAAGUGUUAUGUUUAUAAUAAUCAUCAUGAUAGUGGGAGCAUAAAUUUUAUGAUUGUAUGAUUAUUAAGGCAAGUAUUGCAAGUUAGCAAUAUUAAUUAUAGAAAACAAGAGUCAUACUUUGCAAAGUUGUAAGGGUUGAAUAGUUGUUUUGCUAUAAUUAAGGGAGAGAAUAUUAUGCUUCAUUUCAAAUCUAAAGGCUUAGGUUGUGGAAUGUUAAUAAAUUUAGUCAAGGAUACAUAGUGUGUUCUCAAAUUUCGAUUAUGAUUACGACAUUCCUCUUCAUAGUUUGAAUUUUGAGAACAUAGCACAUAAAAUAUUAUGGCAGAAGAUUGAUAAAGUAUCAAAUCUUUGUGUAAGACAUUAUGCAUCGUGUCCCAUACGCUUCGGGUAUAGGAUCGAUUGCAAAUGCUAUAAUAUUUGACCAUUCUAAAAUUUUCCAAAUGUCUAGCGCAUUUAGAGGGAAAAAGGACAAGAAUCGGUUUUGACUAAGAUAAUUAAACAACUAUCAAAGGACAAUCCAAAGUUCGCCGAGGAUUGGUCGCUUGUGAGUAGUUGGAAGUAUAGUAUUGGAUGGACCAUAUCGACAUUAUUAUGAAUAGAUAAGAUUCUAUUAAGAAUGAGUUGUCAUAUGGAAAAUAUGGAAACGUGUCCAUAUUGGGAAUUGAAUAUUGAAAAUCUAUGUCUAGAUUAGAAACUUUUAUGCAAAAGGAUGUUCAAAGGAAUGUACUUUGAGUGAGAGACAUCAUAUCUAAGGAAUUGUCUUGUAACAAUCUCCGAUAGAGGACUUUGUAAUAUCAUUGGCAAUAGUCAUUGUGACUUUUGUGCAGUGACAUUACGAAAGGAUCAUUGCAUAAAAUGUUAGAAUCUAGCAUAUUCUAUAAGUAGCAAGAAUUUGAUAUUCUUUCACUUAUGAAAAAGGAUUUGGAGUUGUGAAAUGAGUAUGAUUGGAAAUGUGUUCAUUUGAUCUAUUUCACAAAGUAAGAACCAUAGGUAAACAUUGUGUGCAUGCUAAGAGCAUGGGACAAGUGUAGUAAUAAUUCAAGUAAGAAGUUGAUUACCCGAAACAACAAAUAAUGAGUAAUCGAUAUGGUGAUAAAUAAAAGGUGUUUUAUUUAUACUCAAAGGUUUGAGGCCAUAUGGGAUUAGUAUUAUUCUUGUGUUUCACUUUGCAUGUUUUGACUUCCUGAAUAAUUUAAUUGGUUUAGAACAGUCAAAUUAUUCGAACGGGCCACAGUCGUUCAUAUGUUGGAAGUAGGUAUGAAUGAAGACUGUCGUGAAUUGGUGUGUGGAUUGUCUAAAGAGCAUUAGACAUAAGCAAAUGUUUGCUGCAACGUUCAUGAGUGCUUAUGAAUAUGAUUUGAGCAUUGGAUUAAACCCACGCUCACUUGGAUCACUCCAUGAAUUGUAUCACGAGUGAUUGGUGAGACGAUAACAUCUUAUAUUCUUGAAACCGAGAUGUGUGAGUUGUAUCUUGCAAAUCGGUUGCACAUUGAUAAUAUGUAAACGCACUAGUAACUUGGUGUUAUAAAACAUAUUGUUGUGUGUGAUUCGGUGAGUGAGUGCAAGCAAGCAUUGUAUCAAAGUUUAUCCGUUCCUUUUAUCCAAAGUAGGAUAAAAGCGAUAUCUUUGGGCCCCUCGAUGAUUUAGUGAUGACAAACGUAAAUGCUCGGCCGGGCUAGGGCUAAUUUGAUUUGUUCAAUUAGUCAGUCGUCAUAAAUCGGAAAUCGAGAAAUAGUACAAAGAGAAUGAUUUGAAAUCAUAUCUCAUAUGAUAUCUAGAAUGGAGGAAUAUAUGAUCCCUUAUCUAAGGACACGCGUAUCUGAUAUGAUCAGAGUUGACAGCGGCUUUGGAAAGCUACGAUUGCAGAUCAGGAUCUGAAGUCAUACGCAUAAUAGUUAUUAGACUUAUCCAAGUGGGAGACUAUUGAAUUAGUGUCUAACUCCAUAACUAUUUUGGUAUGUACUUGACCCGAUGGUGCAUGGUCCUUUUGGGUUGCCUUCACCAAAGCAACUUGAUAGGAUGAAUUAUGGAGAGAAAGGAUUAAAUAUGAUUUAUUAAUAUAUUAUGAGAAUAAUAUAUUAAAGGAGAAAUCAUAUUGUUUAAUUAAUAUUAGUCAAGAAUUAAUAAGAAUUAAGUUUGUGGCUAAAAGACAUUAAUUAAACUUAAGGGACUAGAACUGUCAAUUGUGUGAUAGUUGAAUAUUGGGCUAAUGGACUCCAUAUUAAAGGAGUGGACGAAUUCUAUGGGGGAAACCCAUUAGAAAUCGUCCAAGGCUUUUAAGAAAGGAGUCCAUGGGUUGCUUAGGGCUUAAGCAUCCAAAUUAGGGUUUCCUUGUUAGAUAACCCUAAUAGCCUCACUAUAUAUAGAGCCCUUAUGCCCCAAAAACGUGGACAAGCUUCUUUCUAGGGUUUCUACAUGUUUUGGGCAGCCUCCUUCUCUUCUCCUCUUCAUCCUCUUGCUCUUGGUGUUUGUGAACCAUUAGAGGAGUGACAUUUAUGACUCUAAGCUUUCUAAAGUCAUUACAAGAAGGAUUUGAGAUUGUUAUUGCUACAUAACAAUCAAGGUAAUAUCUUAAACCCAUUCUUAUGUUAAUAUUGAUUAUCAUAUGCUAGAUUUAGGGUUUAAAGUCUUGGAUGAAUAGCAUGUACAAUAGAGAAACCUAGAUCCAAGCAUUAGGGUUGCAUGAGCACAUAGGAUGUUCUUAUGGCUAAAAUCCAUCAUAUCCAUGGAUCACCACAUGUGUUAAACCCAACAUAAGGAAUCAUGGAUCAUAAGCCACAUAUACAAGAGUGAAUGAUUUACACAAUCAAUCCCCAUAUAUUUAAUUAGUCUCUUUUUGAUCACUAAAUUUAGUCCCAAUUAAUUUUGAUCAAUACUAAUUAAAUAACAUGAUUUCAUAUUAAUAUAUUAGAACUUAUAAUAUAUUAAUAUGUCACAAAUGUCCUCUCCUCACAAACAGUCUAUCCAAAUGUUCUGAUGUCGUGCAACCCAAAUGGACCAUGCCGAGUCGGAUCAAGUACAUACCAAUUAUAGUUAUGGACUUAGACGCUAAUCUAACACGUUAGGCUUCAGAUCAUCCAAGCCUGUAGCAAAGUGGUUCAAGUCCUCUGGCCAGAGUUCGGGAUAUGUUGGAGGGAGGUGCGGACCUUGUGUAUGUCGUAGGUGUGGCGAGGAGGGUAAUUUUGGAAGAGACUGCAGGGGGAGUGCACAAGUUUGUUUUCAUUGCUGCUAGGAAGGCCAUAUUAGAGCUCGUUGUCCUUAUAUCGUUGUCAGUGAGGUGUUGGAUCAUACACCCUUAGCUUGGCAGUUUCCCGACAGUCGGCAUGGGGUGGCCGAAGUCCCGGAGACCGAGAUUUGAGCUCGCAGUUCUUCUUAUUAGUAAUUGUGGUAGUAGUGGUCUUUAUCCGUAAUUUCUGUUGUGUUUCAAAGUUCAGUUGUAACUCGGAUGAUCAAUUAAAUGGAAUUAUUCUGUUUAGCCUUGGUUAAUUUAAUUUCUUGUAUGAAUGAAUUAUUUAUCCUUGUCAUUAGAUUGUAUAUGUAUAUUGGGAUUUAUGAGUCUUGUGUGGGUUUAGAUUCUCCUGUGUACUUACAUAUCAUUGGUUGGGAUCAAGUAGUAGGGUUCAAGAUAGUCUAAGUAACUAAGAAUUUGAAAUUCAUUAGACUCUAGUAUAUCUCAAGUGGGGGAGGGUGGUACCUCAUACCAAGAAAACCUUGUGCCAAAGUUCGGUUCUCAGUUGAAUUUCUCCAAGUUCAAGACUUCUGUGUAAUUUUUGGAUCUUUCGCUUUCACGUUAAAGUCAUUUCAAGUUGUUGGAUUUCCUUCCUAAACUUAUUAGGUUUAGUUGUGGCAUCAUAAAUAGUGUGUGCUUGUGCUUAAAACUCUAGGGUGUUAAGGGCCCAGGUUGAGGGGUGUGAUGAGGGUCUCCUUGCAUGGUCUUAUUUGAUUAGGCCUUGGAGGUCUGAGUUAUGGUCUGAAGACCUGGUAGGAUCAGUUAAUUUUUUCGGCCCGAGUGUUUUCGUUGGUUAGUGGAUCGGGGUAGGCCCGAGUGUUGUUAUUGGAUAGUGGAUCGCAGUAGGCCCGAGUGCCGUUAUUGGUUAGUGGAUCUAGCUUAAACCUAGGUAGUGUCGGUAGAUAGCUAAGCAGGGUUGUCGGAACCAAAAUGAGUGUGGCCUAGUUUGGUAUAUGUCCAGUUAGUUCUCAUCACGAUGGUGCACACGACGUUGGCAGUGCAUCAGAAGGAAUCUUAAGACUCACUGAUGAAUUGGUUGGAACUAUGCGGUUAGCUGAGGUUGCAUUAGUAACUCUAUAAUCAUUCAGUUCAAUCACGGAGGUGGGAUAUUUCUAUGGCUUAGGGCAAAAAUCCAAGGUUCGUUCAUCGCGAGGGGUGGUAUUCCUGAUAAACAUUGAUUUUACACAACAAGAUGGUAGUUGUUAGCGGUGUAGAGGUGAUUCUCAAAAUGUAUUCAGAACUCAGAGAGUUCGGUCAGGCCGGUUCGUCACAGUAGAAGGAUGUAGAAGGGAAAGAUUUUGAGGACGAAAUCCAAUUUGAGUGGGGGAGAAUUAUAUUAACUCGAUUUUAAUAUUACCUUUUUGACCCUUGGAAUGAGUUGUUUUUGCAAAACGGCCCAUAGUGGCAUUAUUGUAAUUUUGGGCAAAUCAGAGUAUGUUGGGCGUACCGGCAUGGUAUGCGGGGAGUGAGGCCUUUUAAUGGAAUGACGCCUUUUGAUUAUGCUGAGCGUACUUUUUUUGGACCAAAAACCCUAAUCUUGAGGGUUUGGACCCUAUUUAUUGAUCCUUAAGUUCCCUAUCUUCACCCCAUUUCCAGCCUCCAUCAUUUGAGACGUUCCUUAGCAAACCCUAGCCCCUUUAGUGCAUUUUGAAGACUUUUGAGAGGUUUUUGUGUGUUCCAAAGGAGGAAGAAGGUGGUGGUGAACCCUAGAAGCUACAAGCAAGCUUGUAUCUGGAAGUUUUACGUCAUUCUCCAUCUCUAGAAGGUAAAAAGUUUCAACCUUGAUUAAUAAGUUGCUAUAUCUUGCUAGGAUGUUGAAAAUAUGAGCUUUUGUCCCCAAAUAUGUCCUUGUGUAUGACAUGUUAUUGAUUGUUGAGCUGCCCUUUUGGACGUAUUUCCAUGUCUUGGGCCAUAAAAUAUGAUCUUGGCCCUUGAGAUUCCUUUAUGCAAGCCAUUAAGAGCUUUAGUGGUUAAGACAAGUUAGGGUUUUGUUGUUGGGCUUGAUCUAGACAUCUAGAACCAUAAUGUUGGAAAAUUUAUAGUUUGGGAUUCCAUUUGUCACUAUGACUGAAAGUUAGACGUAGUGACUUAAGAAAUUAAGCCUUCAAAAUGAAGUUGUUAAGCCAUUGAAUACGUUGGGCAUAACUGUAGUACAUCGGUCGUACGCCUAUGGGGAGCCCGAUCUAGAUUGUGAGUAUGCGGGGUGUAAGAGCCGAGCUAAGGAGGGUUUCAAGAGAUGGUGUUGGAGAGGUAGAGGCUGAGAAUGGACUGGACUUGGGGAAGUUAAGGAGCUUAAAUAGGACUGAAACCACGACAAUAGGGUUUGGGCACCCAAAAAUCGUCAUAACUUCUAACGGUCGUAACUUCUUCGUUCUAACUCCGUUUUCAACGUUCUUUAUAUCAAUGUAUAGAUGUUGAAGAGAUCUCAAAUAUUAUCUAAAUAUAUUAGACUAAAAACUUCUCGAACAAAAAUCCAUAAUUCAUGCAAGAACCCGACCUAUGACUUUUCCUUUAUACCCUUCGACCCAAAACACAAUUCAAGUGAUAGAUCUGUCAACCAUCGUUACCUCUUUCCACAAGGUAUAAUAUUUACCUACUUCAGGCCCAAAGCUUUUACACAAUCGACUUCCGACCCUCGACCCUGAAAUAUGAAAUGACAGGAGACACGAUGUUACAAUUCUCCCCCACUUGAAUUAGAUUUUGUCCUCGAAAUCAGCUCUGGCUUCCACUUCAUGGUGCAACCCCUUACAUCAACCAAACUAACCAAAAACCCACCGAUUUGAUUGGCUCAAAAUGUAACGCCCGUAGAUCCAGGCUAGUCAAUUUAGAGACAAUAAGUGUCAAAAAUGACGUUUUGAUAGAAGAGUGUUUAGAAUAAAUAAUCUUAACUAAGUUGUAGUAUAUGUUACAAGGAUUCCGUACAUAUAAAGAACGUUGAAAUCCGAGAUAUAACGAAGAAGUUAUGACCUGUCGAAGUUUCGCGAUAAAACCGGCACGACACAGCGCGACGUAAAAAGUGAAUUUACGUUACAACGAUAUUUAGCCUUAGCGAUCUAAAUGAAAGUCGUAGAAUACGUUAAACCGAGAGCGUCCAUAAAAAGAAUGUCUAAAUCUAACUCCGUAUGAUGAAGUUAUGAUUUUUCUACGUUUCGACUUAGCGGUAUACAACCCAAAGUUUGAAUAUGAGAUCGAUGGUUUCUAGCCGGAACAAUCUAAACGAGAAUCGAAGAUCUCGUCGAUAGUAGUCCAACGGUUGAAAGACAGAAAAAUACGGACGUCGGAUGAAGAAGUUUUGAAUUUAUAAUAGAGUUUUUCUGUCCCGGCCUACUAAAAAUAACAUAAUAAAAAUAAAUUCAAAAUUAGCCGACGGAGUCUAAACAAGAGUUGUAGAGCAUACUCUCACCUAUGCGUAGAUAUAAAGAACGUCGAAAUCGGAGAUUGUAUGUGAGAUUUAUGAUUUUCUGAAGUUUGAGGCGCACAUCCCAAAGGGGGAACGCGCCGCGUUCGGAGCCUAGAGCCUGUCUCGUCGCCUCUCAAGUCCGAAGUUUAUAAGCAAUGACGCAUGGCGGAACACGCUGCGUUCAUUCAGGUAACGCGCUGCGUUUAGAGGCCAGACCCCUCCUAUAAAUAGAAAGCGAGGGUUGCCAUUUUUGUUUGCUAAAUCCUUUCCUUUCACUCCCUUAAUCUUCCUUUUUCUUGGCAAUUUAUACCCCCGAAGCCCCGAUAUCAUCUCGACACCCGAAGCAAGUCCCGACGCCCUGAAGAUCCCGAGAAAUAGAGUUGUCAAGCCGAAAAUCUGCCCACGAGAAGCCCAGUUUUUGUGAAGAUCUCCUGGUUUCACCGAACAAUACUGCUUUUAGAGCUGUAGUGCUGUCCGAGCAUCAUCUAAUCAAGUGAGUGUGUAGUUUCUUUCUUCUAAUACAUAGAUAUGAAUUAUUCUAAAUAAAAUACGUGCUACGUGUUUGUAUAAUAUUUGAUUAUUUGAAAUAAUUGUUGGAUGAAUGAUUUGUACAGGUUUUAAGCUGUAUAUAAAUGUAUAUAUUUUUAUCUACUAAUAUGUUGGGUAGAGCAUGGGUAGACAGUUGGUGUGUGAUGAAAUAAAAUGAUGAGAGGCAUCGAUGUGAUUGUGAUCUAGUCCUUCAGCAAAAUAUGGAUGACGAUCACAAACUCUUUCUAGACUGUCCUGUGGAAUGCUAGCAGGCUCAUAACCAGUAGGUGUUGGUGAACUUGGGUGUUCAUUUGUUGUAUUCUAUCCCCCUCAUGGUUGCCUUAGGAUAUUUAUUGUUGAGGAAACCCCUCUAUAGUUGUGUCCGUCCCGAUGAAAAUCCUAGAUUAGGUCCCUUGUGAUAGUUGUUGUUUUAGGGACAUAAAGUGAGGAUAACGGGAAUGGGUAAUCGGGUUAUUGUUGGUUGGUGAAAUGAAAUAUAAUUAUUUAUUGUGGGUUGAAAAUCCUAUAUACUCUCCAGGCUCCCAAGCUUGACCCACUCAGUUUUCUUUGUAUUACAGAUUAUGGCACGAGCGCAUAUGUUGGCUAACAUAACGAGAGAUUUUCGAUUAUAGGCCAGUAGUUAUGAAUAACUAUUGUAAGGUCUAUUUUGUUCUGUUUAUGCUUUUGGUCUGUAUUGAACAUGACAUCCCGAGAUUUUGUUAUAUAAUGAAAAUACAUUUCUUUAAAGAAAUGCUUUGAUAAAUUUUUAUCAUAUUUUGUUUUGGGAACAAAUUCCACAACUGUUUUCUGUAAAAGAUUACUAUGAUUUUAAAAACAAAGCAUAAACAAAUCGGUCUUUUCUGGCCGUGAAAUUGAGGAUGUCACACAAAACCUCCUCGGCCAAACGUCGUCAUGCUAAUCCCGCACAUAAGUGCACCAUAGUGAAGAGAACCAACUAGUCACAUACCAAACUGUGCCAUGCUCCUACUUGGCUCCGACAACCAUGCUUAACUACCUACUGACAACGCUCAGGCUUAACGUUGAUCCACUAACUGAAAACGGAACUUGGACCUACCCCCGAUCCACUAACCAGCAAGAACACUCGGGCCAACAAAAAUUAACUGAUCCUAGCAGGUCUUCGGGUUGUGACUCAGACCUCCAAGCCCCUAUAAAACAAGAGCAAACAAAGAAGAACUCAUCACAUCCCUCAACCUGGGCUCCUAUGUGACAUCCCUAUUUUCACAGCUAGAAAAGAGUGAUUUUGUUUAUGCUUUAUAAAAAUUAGAGUACCUCUUUUUAAUAAAAAUGUGCGGAAUUUGUUCCCAGUGAAACAUGAUAAAUACGUUAGCAGGGCAUUUCCGAAGAAGAGUAUUUUUAUUCAUUUUAAAACAUUUGGGAUGUCAUCGUCAAUACAGAAACAUAAGCAUAAACAGAACCUCUCAAUGUAAUGUGACUUCAUAUCAACACCUGUGAUAUAAAUAAACUGAGUGGGUCAGGUUGGGAAACCUGGUGAGUACAUAGGGUUUUCAACCCACAAUAAUAUAAUUAUUUUGUUUAAUCAUCAAACAGUUAACCCAAUUACCCAUCCCCAUUAUCUUUUUUACUCUUAAGGGUCUACCCUAAGAAUCAUCUAUUUCUCAUUCAUUCAUUCCUAAGGAUUAUCCUAAGGAAUAGGUACGAAGUCCAUCGCUGUCAAUGACACAACUAUCAAGCACAGCUGCUAGUUUUAUCACUUAGGCGCAGCUGCCAGAAUUGUGACAUUCUAUAUGAGGCGCAGCUGCUAGUAUCGUCCUUUCAGCACUGCUACUAGGGUUAUCUCGUUUAUUGACAGUAUCGUUUGCGAGAUUCCACUCGCAAUACAUGCCAAUGAGUUUUUAGAGUACACCGGUGAACACAUCGUUCACAACACCUAUAGGUUGCGAGCCUGCUAGUGUUCCACUGGACUGUCUAGAAUAGUCCGUGAUUGUCAUCCAUACUCUGCUAGAUGACGGGGCCAACUUUUGGGAACAAGGCUUCUCACAUCGUCCACCUCUCACCCUUACCUCAUGGUCUACAUCACCUCUCAACUCAUCAUCCAACUCAUAUUUCAUCUACCCAUGUUUUACCCAACAUAUUACAUAGAUAUAAAUAUAUAUACAUUUUAAAUCAUAUAAAACUUGUAUAAAAUCGUUCAUCCAGCAUAUAUAGCAAGUAUACAUAUAAUAUGCACACAUAACACGUAGUGUAUAUAAAAUAUUUCAUAUCUAUGUGUAAGAUGAAAGAGACCAUUCACUCACUUGAAAAGGUGGUGAUUCCGAACUCAGAUAGCCCUUCGCUUCUUAAAAAAUAAUUUCCUUCGACGAAACCUAGUAUUAUUACCACUAGAGUUUAGUCUAUUAUUCGUCGAGACUAAUUAAUAGUAUAGCUAUUAUUACUAUUAUAUAAGUGUUAAAAAAUACUUAUAUAACCCAUAAUAAUAGCUCAAGUACUUAUUAUAAGUUCCUAAUAACGUUACUAUAAUUAAAUAAAAGCUAUAUUAAAAAUAGCGUAGACGUAGCUCACUUACAGCAGGUUUUAUAGAAACUGGGCUUUGAUUGGAGCAGCGUUCCCAAGUCGAAAAUCUCUUCUUCUCUGAGCCGUCGAGCACUCCGGGGCUUCCGCCUCAUGCUAGGGAGGUUCCUUAGGCUUUUCGGGGGGUUUCGGGGCUAGAGAGUUCUAGAGAGAGAGUAAAGAGAAGAAAGAAUGGGAAAUGUGUGAAGAAAAUGAGGGUGGAAGGGGUUGUAUUUAUAGGGUGAAAUAUGGCUGAAAUUGGUGCCACAUGUCACCAUCUAGUGGUAAGCCUUGGGGAGAAAGUAAUGACCAAGAUUGUGCCACGUCACCCUUUUUGCGGCAACACCCUGCCGACUUCUAAAACCCGUAACUUUUGCAUAAGAGCUCCGUUUUCGACGUUCUUUAUAUCCACGCGUAGGUAAAAAUAAGAUCUACAACUUUCAUUUUGACUCCAUCGGCUACUUCUCGACCGAUCUUAAAUUUAACAGUACGAUGAGAUUAUACUGUUAAAUUUCCGCGUAAAAUUCAUAACUUCUACAUAUGAACUCUGUUUUCGUCUGUCUUUUUACUGUUGAGUUCCUAUUAAUGAGAUCUUAAAUUCUCAAUUAGGUCGCGUAGGCCAGAAACUGCUCGAUCUAAAAUUCGAGUUUCGGGGCGUGCACUGCUAUGCCAAAUCUUAGAAAAUUCAUAACUUCCUCAUACGAAGUCAGAUUUGGACGUUCUUUUAUUUGUAUGUUCUCAGUUUAACAUACACUACAAAUUUUGUUUAGAUCACUAAGGCUAAAAAGUACUUUAUCAAAAAUUCACUAUUUACGUCUCCCAGUGCCAUGCCGAUUUGGCCGUAAAACUUCGACGGGCCAUAACUUAUUCGUUAUAACUCGGAUUUUGGCGUUCUUUAUAUGUACGGAACCCUUGAGACAUAUUAUACAACUUGGUUAAGAUUAAUCCUUCUAAAUAAUCUUCCAUUAAAAACUCAUUUUUGACGCUCAUUGUCUCUAAAUUGGCUAGCCCGGAUCUGCGGGCGUUACAUCCUAACACCCUAGAGUCUAAAGUACAAGCAUGCCCUACAUAUGAUGCCACAACUAAAACUAAUACGACUUCAAGGGAAAUCCAAUAGAUGUCAAUGAACUUGACGCGAAACCGAAAAAUUUAGCAACUGUAUGGAUGUCUUGAACUUGGAGGAAUCUGACUGAGAACUGAACCUUGGCACAAGGUCUUACUGCUACGAGGUCCCACUCUCCCCCACAUGAAAUAUACUUGAAUUUGACAACUUCAUAGUCCUUUCUACUAAUUGAUCCCAACCAUUGAUAUCCACAUACACAACAAAAUCCAAAUCCACACAACAUUCACAAAUUCCAUUACGCAUACAAUCAAGGACAAGAUAAUUAAUCCAUUCAUAAUAAUAAUUCAAUUAAACAGAGCCAAAAAGACAAUUUCUUACAAUUUAUCAUCCAAGGUUACAAUCGGACUUCCAAACAUCAAUAAAAAUUAUAGAUAAAUACCAACACCGUAAUAAAUGCUAAAUAUAAGAACUGCUAACUCAAAUCUCGGUCUCCGGGACUCUAACCGUCCCAUGACGACUGUCCGGUAACUGCCAAGCUAGUGGUGAAGGAUCCAACACCUCACUGAAAACGAGAAAAGAAGAAUGAGCUCUGAUGUGGCCUUCUUGGACACAAUGGAAACAAACUCGCACACUUCGCCUCCAAUCUCAACCAAAAUGGCCCUCCUCGCCACACUUGUGAGAUACAAAAGAUUUGCACCUCCUUUCAGUUGAUCCCAAACUCCAACGCUAGGGAAGGUCCAAAAGCAAAAAUCCUAACUUAUUAAUCCAUUAAGACAUCACAACUAUUGCGUGGAUGGGAUAGAAGGACCAAGAUCACAUUUUGAUGGUUCCUAAUAGCUCCAUAAUGGAUAAAAUUUCCAACUUUAUCCAUUAGAAUGGUCCCAACAAACAAGAUAUAGUCAUUAAGUCAUAAACGGACCAAAAGUGCAUAUUUUUCAACUUAUAGCAUUAAGUCCAAGUCUCCAACAUUCCAAUUUGAAUAAAUAUGAUGUUUAGAUAGAUAAAGUUUCCAACUUUAUCCAUAACAACGUCACAAACUUCCAAGAUCUAAACUUUAUGCACUUAAAGUGACCAAAAGCUCAUAACACUCAAAAUUAGCUAGAUCUAAGAAGGUCUGGAUCUACAAGCUCCAAUGCAACCAACAAUUUUUCAAACUUUAUACCUCUAGAAGAAAGUUCAAACUUUAUACCUCUAGAAGAAAGAUCAAGGUGAACAAGGUCUGGAUCUACAAGCUCCAAUGCAACCAACGCUUUUUAAUGAGUUCCUUAUACUCCAAGGUUUACCAAGAACACUCCAAAGAAAUUAAAAACACAUUUUUUUUGCUCACAAGGCUUAAACUAGGGUUAGGUUUCAAGAGAAGGUGUUGUAAUGGUGGGGGAUAAGAAUGGAAUGGCUUUGCCGAAGUUAAGGAGCUUAAAUAGGGCUCAAACCAUGAAAAUAGGGUUUGGGAACUAGUUGUGUAUGCCCAACGUACUCCUGGUAUGUCCAGCGAACUAGGGAUGACCUAGUACGCCUAGCGUACACGGCUAACCCAAAAAUCGUCGUAACUUCAAACGGUCAUAACUACUUCGUUCCAACUCCGUUUUCAACGUUCUUUAUAUCGAUCGUUACCUCCUUCCACACUGUCUAAUAUUUACCUCCUUAAGUACCAAAGCUUUUACACAAUUGACUUCCCGACCAUGAACCUAAAAUAAGAAAUGACGGGAAACAUGAUGUUACAAUUCUCCCCCACUUGAAUUAGAUUUCCUACUCAAAAUCAGCUCUCGCUUCCACUUCAUGAUGCAACCCCUUACAUCAACCAAACUAAUAAAAACCCAUAGAUUUGAUUGGCUCGAAACCUCAUCGGCCAAACGUCGUCAUGAUAAUCCCCGCACAUAAGUGCACCAUAGUGAAGAGAACCAACUGGUCACAUACCAAAAUGUGCCAUGCUCCUACUUAGCUGUGACAACCCGAAAUUUCUAUUCUGAACAAUCAUUCACUUCAAUAGAAAUCAGAACUGUUCUUGCUAUCUGUUAAGCAUUUUGGAGUCAGUUUAAGUGUUUUAAAGCUUAGUACUUCAACGAAUACCAGGAGAGAGGAUGCCCUAGGUUCAUUGUGCAUCAUUUUCGCAAAAACUCCAAGAGUUAGGAGUUUUCGGCCCAAAUAGCAUUUGGACCGAAAACCCCCAUGAGUAUAUAUAUGACACUUAGUCAUAUUUUUCACUUUUUCACUCCUUCAAGAACAAGAACCAAAAUCCCCUCAAGUAUCAUCCGAUUUUUCUUUCUAGAUCUUUAAAACGUAAGUGUUUCUUACCUAUUUAGGUAGAUCUUCAAGUAUUCUUAGUUACACCAAGAACACCAAGAACACACACUAGUGUUUUGGGCCGAAACACACUUCUUUGCUUCCAUAUUGUAAGUAUCUAUCUUCUAUGCUUGUUAUCUAGUAAGGAUACUUAAUUUAGAGCCUUGAAAACAUCCAUUUAUCUAAGAAAAAAGGUGUUUUCGGUCUCGUGCAUCUCCUUAGACCGAAAACCCUUAUGAAAGGUGCAAAAUGACUUUAAGCCUUUCCUAAUGCUUAGUAUUGAGCCUAGAACACUUCUUUGCUUGUUGAAAGCCCUUGGAAAUCGCCUUAUGCAUCAAAGAUUAAGAGUUUUCGGUCAACCUUUUGGACCGAAAACCUGUUGGACCGAAAACCAUAUGGACCGAAAGCCAUAUGGACCAAAAACCACAAGAAACAUACCACUUGGACCGAAAACUCCCUUAAGUGGCUAUACAACCCUUAGAUACAACCCUUGUUACUUCUAGCACUUGAAUCAAAGUGUUUUUCAAAGUCCUAGGGUGUUUUAACAUGAUUAAUCAGUUGUUAAAUCACUAAUUAGUUACAUAUAUGUUUUACUAUGUUAACUAGGAUCACUGUGUGUGUUCAAUUCCUCACGGGACACUUAGCAUCCUUUACCAAUCCUACUAUCACAUCACUCAUUUCAAGUGAGUUCAUACCCCUUAAACAAACCUUUUAAAUGCUCUUGCAUGAUUUUAAAUACUUUUAUAGGGGGAAUAAAAUUUGAAUAUCAUAGUUAUUAUAUCAAUCACAUGUGAUUAAUAACUACCAAACAGAUGAAUUUACUAUACUAUCGAAACGUUUUACCAAACAAACUACUUUUAAAUAGCUUUAUAAACUGACAUCAAGUCAUGGUUAUUUUAUUGUUUCAAACCUUUUAAAUGUAUUACAAAACCUCUUUGUUCACUUAUGUAUUCAUAUAAAUCAUGUCUAUACAUUUAUCAAGUAAGUAUAUGUAUAUGCAUUUGAUAGGAUGGCUGUGACUGCAGCUCCAACACCUUGUAUAGCAAAUGUGUAUAAACAUACAUGGACACUUCCAACUACAUUACUAGCAAACUAUAAUAGGUAUAGUUUGGGAAAUACUACCUACUAUUCCUAGUACAAAUGGAACAUACAUGAGUCAGUUCAUUCAUGAGUCUAUACAACUGUAUUACAUACUAUAUGAAGGAAUACUAUUACAUACUAUAGGAAGAGAUACGAUUACAUACUAUAUGAUGAGAUACUAUUACAUAUUAUAUGAGUAGAUACUAUUAUAUAAGUACGGGACUAACCAUUCUACACGCAACUGUUAGCUACAGAGGGAAAAUGCACAUCGACGGAUGUCUAUGGUUAAUACUAUUCGGCAAGAUACUCUGUCGUGUUUAUCCUAGUACCAAAGGAUAAUACUUACAUGAUUAUAUAAUGUUUCCCUUUUACUUUUAUUUUGUGACAUGCUCACAUAAACGAUGAAGUAGACUAUAUUUUGAUAAUAAUAGUUACACAUGGGAAAAUUACACACUUUUACAAGAAGUAAACAUAAAAAACAAUCGGGUCUUGGUAGAAGAUUACUUUUUAUACUAGUAGGAAAUUGUUGGAUUAGUGUCUAAGUCCAUAACUAUUUUGGUAUGUUCUUGACCCGAUGGUGCAUGGUCCUUUUAGGUUGCCUUCACCAAAGCAACUUGAUAGGAUGAAUUAUGGAGAGAAAGGAUUAAAUAUGAUUUAUUAAUAUAUUAUGAGAAUAAUAUAUUAAAGGAGAAAUCAUAUUGUUUAAUUAAUAUUAGUCAAGAAUUAAUUAGUAAUUAGUUUUGUGACUAAAAGAGAUUAAUUAAACUUAAGGGACUGGAAUUGUAAUUAUAAGAUAAUUGCAAUUUGGGCCAUGGAUUGCCUUGUAUUAUGAGGUGGACGAAUUCUAUGGGGGAAGCCCAUAUGAANNNNNNNNNNNNNNNNNNNNNNNNNNNNNNNNNNNNNNNNNNNNNNNNNNNNNNNNNNNNNNNNNNNNNNNNNNNNNNNNNNNNNNNNNNNNNNNNNNNNNNNNNNNNNNNNNNNNNNNNNNNNNNNNNNNNNNNNNNNNNNNNNNNNNNNNNNNNNNNNNNNNNNNNNNNNNNNNNNNNNNNNNNNNNNNNNNNNNNNNNNNNNNNNNNNNNNNNNNNNNNNNNNNNNNNNNNNNNNNNNNNNNNNNNNNNNNNNNNNNNNNNNNNNNNNNNNNNNNNNNNNNNNNNNNNNNNNNNNNNNNNNNNNNNNNNNNNNNNNNNNNNNNNNNNNNNNNNNNNNNNNNNNNNNNNNNNNNNNNNNNNNNNNNNNNNNNNNNNNNNNNNNNNNNNNNNNNNNNNNNNNNNNNNNNNNNNNNNNNNNNNNNNNNNNNNNNNNNNNNNNNNNNNNNNNNNNNNNNNNNNNNNNNNNNNNNNNNNNNNNNNNNNNNNNNNNNNNNNNNNNNNNNNNNNNNNNNNNNNNNNNNNNNNNNNNNNNNNNNNNNNNNNNNNNNNNNNNNNNNNNNNNNNNNNNNNNNNNNNNNNNNNNNNNNNNNNNNNNNNNNNNNNNNNNNNNNNNNNNNNNNNNNNNNNNNNNNNNNNNNNNNNNNNNNNNNNNNNNNNNNNNNNNNNNNNNNNNNNNNNUUGAUCUAAUUGAAGAUAUUUAUCAAUUAAUAAAAUAUUUGUUUCCUUAUGUGAUAAUUGAUUAAUUAUUUUGAUUAAAUUGGUAAAUUGUUUUGCAAGAAAUCACUAAAUAAAUCUAAUAUGGAUAAUUAUGUGAUUAAUUGUUAAGUUAGAUUAUUUGUUAUUUGAUCCUUGUGUUAUGAAAAGUUUCACAUUUUCCCCUUUAGGUUUUAUAGUUUAAAUUUGACCUCAAAAGUUUUGUUGUUUUGAAAUUUAAAUAGUUGAAACCCUAAUGUUUUGAAAAAGGUUUCAAAACUUGCCCUCAAGUUUUGGAAUUUAAAUUUUGAUUAAUUAGUUUAAUUUUGAUGUAUAUUUAAAUUCUAAACCCUAAUGUGUUGAAAUGUUUCAAAACUUGCCCUCAAGUUUUGGAAUUUAAAAGUUGAUUAAAAGUUUAAUUAGGAAUGUUAAAUUCUAAAACUCUAGUAUUGUUUUGAAAAAGUUCAAAUCACACCCUUAUGGUUUUAUUAAUUAAUUAAGGUGUAUAAUUAAAAGAGGUUUAAUAAAUCCAUAAAAGUUUAGGUUUACAAUUUAAUUGAAUUAAAAGUAUAAUUGUUAAAUUUGACCACCUAAUAUUUUAAAAGUGUAAAAUACACCCUAUACUAUAUAUAACAUUAAAAGUCUAACAUUAUAUAUAUGUAUGAGUAAAAGUCAGUCUUACCGUUAGUAGGCCUCAUUCACGAAGCUGGUCUAUAAGGGGUGUUUAAGGAAAUUGCCUAUAAAAUGGCGAUUGAAUGGGUAUCCACUCUUACCCACCGCACUCUUGACUAGUGGAGGGUCGUUAGCCGAACGGGUAGGAUAGGACGAAACCUUCCAUUAUAAGUAUAAUGAAUUAUUAAAGUAACUAAAUCUUUUCAUAAAAUUCCCAAUCUUAGUUACUUAGGCAAAAGUGAAUUGAUGCAAUUCCAUGAAAUUACACUUUGAGCCCUUGCGAAGACGUUAGUGGAGCGUGUGUGGUUUACUGGCACACUAAAUGGUUCUAAGCAAAGGUAGAAAAGGGUGACUCAAUGUUUGUCAUAGUUCGGUGGAGCGUGUGUGGUUUGCCGGCACAUCGAAUAGAUGACUGUAACAUGUGAGGGCACCAUGUAAGUUUGCAUGGUUAUUCACACCCGCUUGUGAUCCUCGGCAUAUCAGUCACAAAUAAGAGGGGCAUAUCGAGAUAUAAACAUGCCAUUGAAGUGUUCAAUGAAUCUCAUAGAAUCUAGGAGUUUUCAUAGAUUUAAAACUUAAAUUUCUUUUUCUUUUUUCAUGGUGGAAAUUAGUGAAUGGUCAUUCACUUACCUUCAAAUGUUCUGCAAUUUGGGUUACGGCAUCACUCUCCCGAGUUUUAGAAUAUUGUGUUGGGUCCUAGCCUUAGUAUAUCAUUUGGGUGAUUUACUAAGGACUCAAUCAAUCAACUAACUUGAAUUUGUUUUCUCCCGUUUUGUAGAUGUCAAAGUUUGGAAACUAUGGUCUUCUCAAAUCCCGUGGAACAAGCAUUCCUCAUGAAGAUGAUAUUCCACGAUUCAAUCGAGGAAUAAGAGAUCAUACUUCACUUACUCCUCCUCCUCCAAUUAUUUUCCCUAACCCACAAGUUCAAAGUCUUGAAAAGUUCAAGAUCACUCAAGCCCUUUUGGCAAGUUAACAUAAAGAAGGAAAGUCGAUGUGUGCACUCGUCCUAGGGAUGAAGUCACACAUUGAUAGGUUAAUAAUGAUGGGAUCCGUUGUCGGUGAGGAGAUGGUUGUUGAUUGGGUUCUUCAGUCACUUCCUAACUCGUAUAGUGAGUUCGUAAGAGAGUACUGUAUGAUGAACCACGACGUGACCCUUAUAGAUCUCACCUACAUGCUUAUUGCUGCUGAAUCAGCAAUGGUUUUGCGCAAUAGAAAAGCAAAGUUGAUUGGUGAAUCUGCCUUCAAGACCUCUAUUGAUAUAGACAAUGGCAACGAAAGACAUGCUAUGAUCGAAAAGUCUGAUCAUAAGAGAAAGGCAAUGUCUAAAGUAGUUCCAUGUCCUGUUCCAAGAGAGUCAAUUUGCUUUUAUUUCCAAGAGAAGGGGCAUUGGAGACGAAGUUGCCAUAUUUACCUAAGAGAUCUAACAGAUGGGAAAGUCAAAACGUAUGGCUCUACUCUAGGUAAAAUCCAUUGACUAACUCUUUUAAGCUCCUGUUCUAGAUUCUUAAUACAUAAUGUGAUAAGAUUACAUUUGAUGUUUUGUAGAAUCGAAUAAAUUUUGUUCUAGAUUCUUGAAGAUUAGAUUCUUGAGCUACUACUUAGAGUUAGAAUUAGAUUGCUAAGAAAGAUGUAUUAGCAUAGUUUUUUAGUGAAUUGCAUUAUAAGGACGAAUUUUUCCGCAAUAAAAUAAAUUUUGAUUUUAUAUUAUUUAUUUAUCCUUGCAAUGGCGUAUAUGAAAAAUUGAUGUUUGAAUGUUUCUAUUAUUAGCAAUAAUGGAUUUGGUUCUUAUUUAUGUUAUUUAUGGAAAGUCGAGAAUUUACCAAAUAGGGAGAGUUUCUCAUCGCCCAAGUUUCAAUUGGACAGAAAUUUGGAAUCACGCAACUUGGUUGCAUGAUGAAUGAGAAAUUUCAUAUUUGGAAAUUAGACUAAUUCGUUGACAAAGUGUCAAGUGAAGGACUAGGAGAUCGAGCACACAAAGUUGCGUGUUGAUCCAUAAGAGUAACAAUGAUAUUCGUCAUGAUUCACUAAAGGUUUAGUAAAUAUGAUUAUACUUACAAGAUUAAGUGUAAUUAUGAAUUGAUUGAAAAAGUUUAAAUCAAUAGCAAAACGAAUAAGAAGAAUCAAGUAGGCAGAAAGAUAAGAGUUUCUCCAUUCUAAGAAGAAGGGAGAGUAGCUUUUAUGCUUUAUGAUAGGUCUUAAUGAUUAAGAACCAUAUCUCAAUUGAUCCUCUAAGUGAGUCUUAGUACAAUUGUAUGUUUAAGAAGAGGAAUCAAGGAUUGAAGAAAUGGUUAAAUCAAGAAGUCAAUCAUACUUCGUUCCAAAAACAAGUCUUAGAGUUAAGAUUGUGAAAUUGAGUGAUAAGUAUUAAGAAGGUUUAUAACAUUCAUCAAAUGUGGAAAGUUGUGAUGUCUUGGAUAAGACAAAGACCAACUAGGACCAAUUUAUGAAGAGUUUUGAUAAAAGCUACACUAACUCUUGAAUAUUUGUUUGUCAAGAAAUGUUUUGACAAGAGAAUCUUAUAUGUCAAGGAGUCAGUGGGAGUCUUAAUGGUCUUGAAAGGUUUCAAGAACAAAUCAAAUAAACCUUAUCGAUCAUCACUAGCACACGAGUUGAGGUUUACAACCUAUCGUGUUGACAUUAUUUUGUUUCUGUGCCAAUCCAAUCGAGUUAAUUAUGCAUGUGAGUCCUAUGAGUUCUCAUUUGAAUGCAUAAAAGGCAAGGACCUUGAUCAAUGGAAAGUACAUUGAUAAGAAAAGGUGAGCUGCUUAACUACUUGGAAGACAUGGUGGGCAGCUGUGCUACCAUAAAGGCAAGAAAUCAAGAUUAAGAAAGUUCGGUCCAUAUGAGUUUGAAUUUGUCGUAAACUUUGGUUUUAACAAAUUCACAUGGAUAGGAACACAUACACCGCUCAAAUCUAAGUGUCAUAAGAUUUCUUCCUUCAUGAAAAUGAUUGUGAGGAAAUGUUUUCACUAAGAAAGAUUUUAAGAAGAUAGUGAUUGUAAAAUUGCAUUCUCAAAUUCAAUCAUGGUUACGGUAUCCCUUUCCAUAAUUUGAAUUGUGAGGUUUGGCAAUUGUUUACACACACAUAUGAACUAUCUAAGGCAAAAGUGUAUAAGUUCAAGAAGCCUUGAUAAAAGAUUAUCAAAGCAUUAAGUAUUAGAAACAUGAACUU
This 20049-nucleotide long non-coding RNA is filed under the name Lactuca sativa (garden lettuce). RNAcentral's name for it is "long non-coding RNA (LSAT_LNC003465)". Lineage: Eukaryota; Viridiplantae; Streptophyta; Magnoliopsida; Asterales; Asteraceae. The record is from RNAcentral.